RNAcentral lists this ribosomal RNA (446 nucleotides) under uncultured bacterium. Its description in RNAcentral is "SSU rRNA". It matches the Rfam family "Bacterial small subunit ribosomal RNA", at positions 26 to 518 of the family's 1533-position model. The record is from RNAcentral.
AGAGCGAACGCUGGCGGCAGGCCUAACACAUGCAAGUCGAGCGCCCGUAGCAAUACGGGAGCGGCAGACGGGAUAGUAACACGUGGGAACGCGCCCUUCGGUUCGGAAUAACUCAGGGAAACUUGAGCUAAUACCGGAUACGCCCUUACGGGGAAAGAUUUAUUGCCGAAGGAACGGCCCGCGUCCGAUUAGCUAGUUGGUGAGGUAAUGGCUCACCAAGGCGACGAUCGGUAGCUGGUCUGAGAGGAUGACCAGCAUCACUGGGACUGAGACACGGCCCAGACUCCUACGGGAGGCAGCAGUGGGGAAUAUUGGACAAUGGGCGCAAGCCUGAUCCAGCCAUGCCGCGUGGAUGAUGGAGGCCUUAGGGUUGUAAAGUCCUUUUAACGGGGAAGAUAAUGACGUACCGUAGAAUAAGCCCCGGCUAACUUCGCGCCAGCAGCCGC